AUCAGUAAAAAUCAAACCAGAAUGAAAACGACUGCUUUGCCCAUAUUCGGCUGCUCUAAUGAAACUUGGCUUCAGUGGGGGAAGUUCUUCACUUGCAGCUCACAGAUGGAUGAAUAAUUUAUACAUCAAUCAGUUAGUAACCAAAUUUCUUUCCUCAGGGAGAGCAUUUUGUGAAUUCCUGGGUCAGAAGAGAAUUACCUGUGGUAUCAGCUUAUAGCAAUGACAGUGUCUUUGCUAAUGAAGGACUAAGAAUGGACACGUUUAAGGACUGGCCCCAUGAAUCACCUAUGGCUGUUGAAGCUCUGGUCAAAGCAGGUCUUUUCUACACAGG
This is a long non-coding RNA of Rattus rattus (black rat), 331 nucleotides long. RefSeq lists it as uncharacterized. The transcript has 2 exons. Lineage: Eukaryota; Metazoa; Chordata; Mammalia; Rodentia; Muridae. The record is from RefSeq and is a predicted model, not a curated record.